Molecule: long non-coding RNA, 200 nt
Filed under: Hordeum vulgare
Lineage: Eukaryota; Viridiplantae; Streptophyta; Magnoliopsida; Poales; Poaceae
Description: long non-coding RNA (HVUL_LNC006764)
Source: RNAcentral
CACAUUCCAGUUAAUUUACAAAAUUCCCGUACUCAGAGCAAAAGUUUAUGUUUUUGAGCAAAAUCAAAUCACGAACACCGUAGACCAUCCCAAAGGUCUUACUUGGCUCAAACACUAACUAAAACAAGAAAACACAAUUACUACAUAGGUAAUAAUGUGUGCAGAACUCAAAAACAAAAGCAAAAACAAAAACAUAAAAA